Non-coding RNA from Paramuricea clavata, 362 nucleotides. NCBI's taxonomy places the organism in Eukaryota, Metazoa, Cnidaria, Anthozoa, Malacalcyonacea, Plexauridae. The record is from the annotation of a GenBank genome assembly.
CUUCGUUACUCAAUUCAUUAUCACAACCGCGAUUCGUCAGUACCCUCAUUGUCACUAUUGUUAUUAAUUAACAUUUUGUUUCUGUUGAUGAAGAUAAGAUUCUCGUAAAUAUAAUUAAAUUUUAAAAACCCCAGAAGAAAUUCGCGUUAAUUAGAUAAUGUAAGUUUACGUCGCGUUAAUAAAGUGCAUCGUUAAUUUCCUUCAAGGUAGAUGUUACAUCUUAUGAACAAAAGUUAUGCAAAACAACAAUUAACAUGUUGAGAAAUCGCCAAUUAAACACCCAUGAUAAAACAAGCUAGAAUCUACAGAUAAAUCGCAAUAUAGAAAAAUAAAAUAUAUUCUAUUCUGUGGUCCAAUGCUCU